CAGUUCGCGGUCAGCCUGGACACCGGCGGCUACGACCUGCUGGUGCUGUGCGAGGACGCCGAGAAGGUGUCGAUCGUGACCGACGCGGACGGCCC
This 95-nucleotide transfer RNA is filed under the name Cellulomonas soli. Its description in RNAcentral is "tRNA-Arg". Lineage: Bacteria; Bacillati; Actinomycetota; Actinomycetes; Micrococcales; Cellulomonadaceae. The record is from RNAcentral.